RNAcentral lists this ribosomal RNA (301 nucleotides) under uncultured bacterium. RNAcentral describes it as "partial 16S ribosomal RNA". It matches the Rfam family "Bacterial small subunit ribosomal RNA", at positions 509 to 807 of the family's 1533-position model. The record is from RNAcentral.
CAGCCGCCGCGGUAAAACGAAGGGGGCUAGCGUUGCUCGGAAUUACUGGGCGUAAAGGGAGCGUAGGCGGACAUUUAAGUCAGGGGUGAAAUCCCGGGGCUCAACCUCGGAAUUGCCUUUGAUACUGGGUGUCUUGAGUAUGAGAGAGGUAUGUGGAACUCCGAGUGUAGAGGUGAAAUUCGUAGAUAUUCGGAAGAACACCAGUGGCGAAGGCGACAUACUGGCUCAUUACUGACGCUGAGGCUCGAAAGCGUGGGGAGCAAACAGGAUUAGAGACCCCAGUAGUCCCUGUCUCUUAUAC